Molecule: ribosomal RNA, 320 nt
Filed under: uncultured eukaryote
Lineage: Eukaryota
Description: partial 18S ribosomal RNA
Rfam family: Eukaryotic small subunit ribosomal RNA
Source: RNAcentral
CCCUUAGAUGUUCUGGGCUGCACGCGUGUUACAAUCGGGAGUACAACAAGAUUGCAAAUCCUAGUGGAUGAGUGGUUCUUCGAAAUUUUCUGAAGACUGGGAUAGUUGAUUGAAAUUAUUCAACUCAAACGAGGAAUUCCUUGUAAUUGUAAUUCAUUAUAUUGUAAUGAAUACGUCCCUGCCCUUUGUACACACCGCCCGUCGCUCCUACCGAUUGAACGAUCCGGUGAAUUAUUUGGAGUAGCUCUGGAAGUUGCAGAACUUCCUAUGUCACGAAAUUUUGUAAACCUUAUCGUUUAGAGGAAGGAAGAGUCGUAACA